UCUCCGUAGGUGAACCUGCGGAGGGAUCAUUAAGAUGCGCCCAGCCUCUGCACGCGGCGGCCCACCGGCUGCCGCGUGCACGCCCUGCAUCCUCGAUAUUACAGCACCUUGCGUUCUCCUUCGGCGGGUCAGCCCGCCGUCGGAUUCAAGAUACACCCAAUUUGCAAACAGCAUGCGAAUGCUGUCAGUAAUGUUUAUACCCGUUCAGAAACAAACAAUCGUUACAACUUUCAACAAUGGAUCUCUUGGCUCUGGCAUCGAUGAAGAACGCAGC
This 274-nucleotide unclassified non-coding RNA is filed under the name uncultured fungus. Its description in RNAcentral is "sequence contains ITS1, 5.8S rRNA gene". The stretch from base 226 to 274 matches the Rfam family "5.8S ribosomal RNA", at positions 1 to 49 of the family's 154-position model. Lineage: Eukaryota; Fungi. The record is from RNAcentral.